Long non-coding RNA from Cucumis melo (muskmelon), 5933 nucleotides. RefSeq lists it as uncharacterized. The record is from RefSeq and is a predicted model, not a curated record. The transcript is spliced from 4 exons. NCBI's taxonomy places the organism in Eukaryota, Viridiplantae, Streptophyta, Magnoliopsida, Cucurbitales, Cucurbitaceae.
AAACACGUAUUACAAAUCAAACUAUAAUAACCCACGUCCCAUCCCAAACAUCCCUCCAACUCCUGUCCGUUGAAGGGGACUCAGAAUCAUUCAUGUAGCCGCGCAGAUUCUCCCGGGUAAAUGUUGAUAAUCAGAAUCGGCGGGAACGACGGCAAUGAAUCGUCGCUCAUCUUCUCGAGCACGGCCUCAUGCUCCCCCCACCGUGAUUGCUCUUAGGCACUGACGAUUUCUUCCGAGCCUUAACCCAAAUUACAGGCGUUAUUACAUCAGAUUGCUUGUUUCCAACGCUACUUCGAGGCUAUUUUGCGGAAUAGAACAAUGGUCCGAGGCAGUACAUUCAACUUCAUGAUAGCAUAAAUGAAGAAAGAGAAGCUCCUAUUUCGCUUGAAACUUUGGUUCUCUGACUUAGUUGCUGAAAUUUAUUUACUGCGAUAUUUAGGUUGUAAGGUAUAUAAUUACCGGCGGUUCGGCGCAGUUGCUUGCAGUUUAUUGUCCUCGUGUUGUCCGUUAUGUACGAGUGGCUACGGCGUAGAUGCUAAGCCAAGUUUUGUAUAAUUUCAGAUGCAACAAAUCAGUACUCAUGAUUAUUGCCAAACAACGGUGAGCACAAGUACAUAUUGAUCGAUGGGAGGCCGUUUUUAGGGCGCAUGUUCUAAAAUGGUUUACACGCCAUAAAAUUUAUGGAGUGGAUACUGUGAGUCACUUUCACUUGUUUUUUAUGUUUUUAUGUAACUGAUGUAUAGUCUGUUGCAAAAUUUCAAAAUAAAACGCAUAGAUAAUUACGAUCAGGACGGUAUUUCUUUCUGCCACCUGUUAUUGCUUUCAGAAGCAAUUUUUGUUUGUUCGUUAUUUUUACUUUGCGUCAUUUUUUAAUGAAAUUUCACUAUCCUUUUAGUUUUAGUUAAAGAGCAUUUUCUUUGCAAUAAAUUCGACUCUUAAUUUCCACGGCUCGUUUCUUUUUCUUUCAAAAUUCUAAAGAUUAUUUUGACUCUGAUUCUUGGUUUGGAUUAUAUACAUACCGUGCAACCUUUUAGUCCCACACAUGAAAUUAACUUGAUGCAUGUUUAUCUAGCACAAGAUUCAAGUAUGACGAAGAGGUAUAUGUGGCUACCUUUUCUCUAGAUUAUUUUCUGUAGCAUCAUACCUCAUAAUUAAUUGGCCAUGGAGUUCCUUGCUUUUGUCGUAAAUGUUGAGCAAUCUACUUGUUCAAAAAUAUUUGAUUAGAUACACGAAAACUCUGAUGGUGGAAUAAGUCCUAUUUGGCACAAAGAUGUGAAGGCUUCUGACUUCUAUUUUUUUCUCUAAUAAUUUUUUUUCUUCAAAGCGGGGUUAUUUUGCUUUUCGGACGAUUUGAGAUAGUAACUGAAUGCAUAACAAUAAAUGAAAGCCAGCACGAUUUUCCUUUAAAUGGUGAACACUCUUUCUUGGUCCUUGCCAUCGAAUACCUCUGAAAAGGUUCCUUGUAACACGUAUACCUCUACGCAGUUAAUAUUUUCUUCCUGACUGUUCACUAUCAGACUUAGAAGCAAAUUUUAUUCAUACUGUGGAUCUCAUGUGUAAUUUUACAUCUUCAACAGUUUGAGUUAACUCUUGUUCGCAUGACUUUUAAGAGCGAUUUGUCAGUCGGUAAGUUGGGAACUUGAAUUAAGUACUUAAUUUUCUUGCACCUCAAUAUUACAUAUCAUGGGCACAAAAAACACGAGAGACUACUGUAUUUGUUUUGCAGUGGUGUAAAUUGCGAGUGCAAGGAAGCUCUCUCAUGUCAUAAAUUUUUUACUUUCAUCUCUCAUUUUGCGUUUUCCUCAUGUAAAUUGCAAAUUGAGCUGUAGUUUAUCGUGCACUAGCCAUUUCUGUUUUUUUUUUUUUUUGGCACGGUGCGGUUAUGAGGUUCCUAUACUAGGUGCAAAAGGAGUUAGAGAGGCCAGGAAGUGUGAGAAGAGUAGCACAGCUUGAGGUUUGACUGGUGAAUCAUUGAGAACUAUGACGAGGAACCAUUUACUGCAUCAGCCUUACUUUUUGUUCCUUUAUGAGUUUGUUAAUAUAAUGUAUAUAAAUAUUUCCUCGAUUAUCCUUCUUAACUAUAAUUGUUCAAGUUCAGGUUAUGCAUAGAGAAGAUGUCUCCUCUUAGGGAAAAAAAUAUAAAGGUUCCUAUAUAUAUCUGAUGUCUCAAGAUUUCCUCCAAGCACAAAACGUGAUCAGUUUUGUUUCAUUCAAUCUUCUAUUAGAAUAUGUUUAUGUUUCUAUCUUACCCUUCACUUUUGAAUUUUCCAUGAUAUUGUGAAAGCACAAAGAUCAAUUGAUAAAGUUUGUUGACGUCCUAUAAGAGCCCUUGUGCAUAAUAUGGUACGGUAGGUACCUGGAGUGCCCACGUACAAAAACAGAUUCUCCAGAAAUCUUGACUAAGCUGAAAGCUUCAGAGACUAGUUGCUCCGAAAAGAUUGGAUGUCAUCAUAAUCUUGGUGAUUUUGGUACUUCUCUACAUCUGUUUCCUUGCCCAUGGGCAAAAGGCACUAAGAGCUAGAACCAAAAGACAAGGGCUAAGGAUCUACGUGUCAUGCCAUUUAAAAAGGAGUCAGGAGAAUAUUUCUAAACUUUAUUUUAGGUUUCCAUGCUAUACUUUUCGUGCUGUAGUCAUCAAUUUCAAAAGGUGAAGCUGGUCUUUUCGUUCUUCUCGUCUUGGGUGCACCACAAAGGGGAUGCAUAUGAGAAGAAUCAUGCUUAAUUCACACAUUGGUAUUGAAGCCAACGAGCUCGCAUGCUGUAUUAUUUGAAAGUUUUGUCCGUGUGUUUCUUGGCUUUCCAACUUCUUCACCUCAUGUCUUUUACCUGUAUAUUUUGAGUGAUUACUUACUCCCUCUACUUCGGUUUGAACCAUUUUAUUUUGUUGGCACUUCAUACGGGUCAUUUAAUGGAUUAGACAUUGUAAGGUAUGCACAAGACCUCAAUUUAUAUCUUGAUAUACAUAUGCACAUGUGUUGUAGUAAAUGUUAAAGUUCAUCAUGUGCAUGGGAAAUACUGCUGCCUAUUGUUCAAUUCGAAAUGUGAGGUGGGCAAUGCUUGAUUGUUUAAAUAAAGUUAUCCGGCUAUGUAGGUGCAUAUGAGUUGUUCAAGUAUUUGCACCACCAUCUCCAUCAGAGGUUUAUCCUUGGCAAUAUAUUACCUAAGGGAUUGUAAAUGUACCAACUUUCUAACUUUAUUUGAUGGCUAACAGUGGUUCAACUACACGAAGUUGAAGAACAACCAAAUAACAGAACCAAACAACAGUCUACCUAACCUCUGGUAUUUAUGUUCUAAUUUUCUCUAUUGGCAAUUUCUAAAUAAGAGAUUGCAAAAGUUGUCUUGAUCUUUUUAUUUAAUCUUUGUUUCUGUCUUAAUUCGAAUUUGGAAGUUUUUUAGAUCAAUUUUCGACAUUAUUAGAAGUGUUCGUAGGAGAAACUUUUUGUUUGACUGAUGCCAAUGAAAUUCACCUUGUACUGUUUGCUUUACAUGGAGGGGAUUUUUAGUACUGAUCUUUCUGUCUUAUCAUCGUGCUCAUUUAGAAAAGGAAUUCCACUGCAGAUUGCUCAUGAUGGUCUUUGAAUCUCCUUGACCUAUGAUGAGGUAAUGUUUGUUCAUUCAGCUCCUUUAACAGGGAGUCACGAUUACCAUUAGCUUCUUCGUAAAAUAUCCUUAAUUGUAGUAACUAUAUUAUUCCCAUUGUAUAAUUCUCUUGUACUUUGAGAUUCUAUCAAUAAAGAAGCUUGUCUCCGUUUAAGAAAAAACAACUGUAACCGGGGUGCUGUUCCUUUGGAUCAAACAAGUGAAGAAAGUAAACCAAGCAUUCAACAAACACCCCAUUGGUGGAUGUGUUGUUGGAGGACGAUACAUCUUAAUGAAGCAUAAAUGCAUAAUGAUAGGAGUGGUACCAAGGAGUAUUGACAAUUAGUUAGGAAAGUUGCUAUGGUACUUUAGUUAUAAAUAGAGGAAGUGAAAAAGGAGGAAGAUAGACAUUGGUUAAUAUCAUUUAGGUCUGAUUGUUUUCGAGAGAGGGAUUUUCCUAAUUCCUCAAAUUACUUGAUUAAUUUUGAAGCUAUUUAAUGUUUUUAUAUUCAAGAUAUAUUUUUUGGUUUCUAUCAUAUUAUUGUACCUGAGCGCUACAACAUUGAGUUUUAGAGUCAAACAACAUCGAGUUUAUGUCCUACUGAUGUUGGAAGGAAAAAUAAGAAUAGAGUUGAUAUGAAAUUUGAAUAGCUUAUCUGAGCUGGAGCUGGCUGGAAUUUUAUUGUGACAAAAGAGUAGUAUGGUUAUCUUUAUUUAAGUAGGUAAAACGAGUGCAAGGGGAAAAUAUUCAAACCAUCAAACACUGAAAAAUUCAAACUAAACACACCAAACAGAAAAGUAGAGAAGAAACUUUAAACUAAACCGUCAAAACUUUGAAACUGGAAGGAAAAUUAGCAAACUGAAUGAUGAAUCAUGGGACCCCUUUGGAAAGACGAUACAUUAUUGUACAAUUCCUUUUAACAAUCCCACGAUCUCCUUCCUCAAUUUCUCUGUUCAUUUUGGAAUCUUCCACAGCAAAGCUGGAAAAGUUAAAAUUUAAUAGAGAGACAAUAUGGAGAUUAUGGUAUGCAAAGUAGGACACUGUAUCCAAAUAAAGCUUGGAAUAGUUUCUUUCUUGUUUGUUUGUUUUUUCUCCCUUAACAAUAAUGCUAUAGAAAACUUUUCUUUUUCAAAUAUAUAUAUAUAUUUUUUUGGAGACAUCAUUGGGAACAUACAUUAUAGAAGAGCUCAUUACUGAACAUCUGUUGCAAAAAAAUGCUCAAGGAACUAAUCGUGAAGAAUUAUAGCCUAAAUCUUUACUUUCUUUUUAUCUUUUGUCUCCCUUUGGAGGAUUUUUGGUUUUAUCUUUCCUUUUGCCCAAACAGAAAUUUCUUAUUUGCCCGUGUAGUUGAAUAUUGUAUAAAUAUGACAUUUCUUAUCUACUUUUCAAGGAAAAGUAUAUCAAUUGCACAUGAAGAGACAAGGGCAAAAUACAAGAAGGAUGAAUCAGAAGCAUUGUACUAUGAUAGAGAAGUUUGAGAGAAAAGGUAAGUUUCUAAAUACCAUGACACCCUCUGAACUUUACACAUUUACUCCUUAAAGUACUUGGAAAUUUCAACUUCUUCCUCAGUGGUAGGUAACUUUUUCAUCCAAACCUUAGUUGGAUUUUAUUAACUUCAUUAAUAGGUUACGUUAUUCCAAUGAAAGUUAGUUUCAUUUUGUGUUUAUAAAAAGAAGAGAAAGAUCUUUGAGUUAGUUUAAAUAAUUGAAAACUUUUGGAAAGUGUGAUCUGCCUGUUGUCUUGAAAAGGGGAACCAUAGAAAAAACAUUGAUCAAAGAUCACAAGGAAAUAAAUAUAGGUUAAUUUGUCUUAAUCCAUCAUCUCCCCAUCUGAAGAGAAAUUUGAUGCCCUGGACGUUUACUGAUCAUCUAAGAUCUUUUCAUUAAUCACAAGAAUAUCCUAUUCCCGGUUCGCCUACCCCAAGAAUGGUGAUGAAGAUAGAUUUACUACUGCAUUUUGGCCUCAUUACAUCUCUGGAUAGCCGGUUAUUUGACCUUCCCACCUCUCCAUUUCGUACCCAUCCCCCCUUUUUCUACCACAAAUCCCAAACAAGGCACAUUCUUUUACACAGGCAUGGUACAAGUGGAGUUAAAGAGUAUCAAUUAUAGAGGAAGACGUAAAAUGGGUUAUGUCUGUUUAACCUCAAGCUAAGAACCGUGGACACUUUAGUUUGGCUAAUUUGUUUGUAUCAGCAUGUGUUGGACAUUUGGACCCUUCGACACUUGUUGGACAUGUAUCAUACACUUAUUAGUACAACAAAUGUGUUAAACAUGCAUAGAACACUUGCUGAUUAAAAAGUUACAUAUAUGAUAAUAAAUUGAGGGGAUCGUUUGGCCCACCAACUUCUUAGCAA